GACGAACGCUGGCGGCGGUGCCUAACACAUGCAAGUCGAGCGGAGCAGUUAAGGAGGAAGUUUUCGGAUGGAAUUUUGACAGUUUAGCGGCGGACGGGUGAGUAACGCGUGAGCGACCAACCUUGCACAGGGGGAUAACGGACCGAAAGGUUCACUAAUACCGCAUGAGACCACGGUGUUGCAUGACACAGAGGUCAAAGGAGCAAUCCGGUGCAAGACGGGCUCGCGUCCGAUUAGGUAGUUGGUGGGGUAAAGGCCUACCAAGCCAAUGAUCGGUAGCCGACCUGAGAGGGUGAUCGGCCACAUUGGAACUGAGAUACGGUCCAA
Molecule: ribosomal RNA, 327 nt
Filed under: uncultured bacterium
Lineage: Bacteria
Description: bacterial SSU rRNA
Rfam family: Bacterial small subunit ribosomal RNA
Source: RNAcentral